UUCCCCGGUAAUGGACAAGAGACACCUUGUUGUUGGUGGUGUUCUUAAUCACCUAGGGGCAGAGCAGGUGGCAGUCCUCUGUCCAUCCUAGCUUGAUGCCUGGCUUGGCAGCUAAAUCAAAUCUGUCUUGUGCCUAGGACACAUAA
Small nucleolar RNA from Apodemus sylvaticus (European woodmouse), 146 nucleotides. RefSeq annotates it as small nucleolar RNA SNORA48. The transcript has a single exon. The record is from RefSeq and is a predicted model, not a curated record. NCBI's taxonomy places the organism in Eukaryota, Metazoa, Chordata, Mammalia, Rodentia, Muridae.